RNAcentral lists this transfer RNA (73 nucleotides) under uncultured cyanobacterium. Its description in RNAcentral is "tRNA-Ala". It matches the Rfam family "tRNA". From Rfam's summary of the family: Transfer RNA (tRNA) molecules are approximately 80 nucleotides in length. Their secondary structure includes four short double-helical elements and three loops (D, anti-codon, and T loops). The record is from RNAcentral. Lineage: Bacteria; Bacillati; Cyanobacteriota.
GGGGGUUUAGCUCAGUUGGUAGAGCGCCUGUUUUGCACGCAGGAAGUCAGCGGUUCGAAUCCGCUAACCUCCA